This 506-nucleotide long non-coding RNA is filed under the name Homo sapiens (human). RNAcentral's name for it is "HSALNT0341493". The record is from RNAcentral. Lineage: Eukaryota; Metazoa; Chordata; Mammalia; Primates; Hominidae.
GAGUGGGGACCGCGCGGGAUGGAGGCAGUCAAGGCAUGCUGGCUGCGGCCGGCGCUGGAGGGACCCUUUAGUUCUCAGUACUCCCUGAGCGGGCGGGUUCGUUCCAUCCCGGUUGGCGAUGAAGACAUCCUUUUCUGUGUGCUCGCGGCUCCGCGCUGCGUGGCCAGGAAUGGCUAGAGGGAAAAUCUGGCCUGGAGGCUCGGAUUCUGAGACCUUCGGAGCCAGGCCGGGCGUGAGCGGGCUUGGGGGGGUUCUCUGCGUGCAAGAAUUCUAACCUCCCCAGUCACUGCUUCUAGGCCCACCCGCUGCUCUGUUCAAAUUUUAUUAUAAGAAGCAUAUUCAUUUGGCUCCUGGUUUUCCACUACCUCUUCCUCUUCCCAAAACCCAGGAACUCGAAAUACUGGAAUUCAACGCCCCCCCACCCCGGUUGAUCCAUUUAAUUCCUUGGGUCUAAAAUAGAAAUCAGGCCGCCAACUAAUAAAAAUCGGGCAGCAAAGCUAAAUGGA